Molecule: ribosomal RNA, 558 nt
Filed under: Colletotrichum sp. ITCC 6015
Lineage: Eukaryota; Fungi; Ascomycota; Sordariomycetes; Glomerellales; Glomerellaceae
Description: eukaryotic LSU rRNA
Rfam family: 5.8S ribosomal RNA (bases 199-352)
Source: RNAcentral
UUGGUGAACCAGCGGAGGGAUCAUUACUGAGUUUACGCUCUACAACCCUUUGUGAACAUACCUAUAACUGUUGCUUCGGCGGGUAGGGUCUCCGCGACCCUCCCGGCCUCCCGCCUCCGGGCGGGUCGGCGCCCGCCGGAGGAUAACCAAACUCUGAUUUAACGACGUUUCUUCUGAGUGGUACAAGCAAAUAAUCAAAACUUUUAACAACGGAUCUCUUGGUUCUGGCAUCGAUGAAGAACGCAGCGAAAUGCGAUAAGUAAUGUGAAUUGCAGAAUUCAGUGAAUCAUCGAAUCUUUGAACGCACAUUGCGCCCGCCAGCAUUCUGGCGGGCAUGCCUGUUCGAGCGUCAUUUCAACCCUCAAGCUCUGCUUGGUGUUGGGGCCCUACAGCUGAUGUAGGCCCUCAAAGGUAGUGGCGGACCCUCUCGGAGCCUCCUUUGCGUAGUAACUUUACGUCUCGCACUGGGAUCCGGAGGGACUCUUGCCGUAAAACCCCCAAUUUUCCAAAGGUUGACCUUCGGAUCAGGUAGGAAUACCCGCUGAACUUAAGCAUAUC